UUGAUAUUGGCAACUAAGUAACUAUUGUUAAACUGACAUUCUUGCUGCACAACAAACAAUUUUUUUGUAGUAAUGGUGGGAAUAGGUUCCACGAGGAGGACAUGAUCAUUUAUGUUAUUGUAUUGAUCAUUAAGAUCACGUAAAAACUGCAUUGCAUGAUCCUUUUUUCUGUGAGUUAUAACAGAGGAAACAUUGCAGGAACACUUAUUUUGGCAAGAGCAUGCAAGAUCAGGUCUAAAAU
Molecule: long non-coding RNA, 241 nt
Filed under: Phaseolus vulgaris (common bean)
Lineage: Eukaryota; Viridiplantae; Streptophyta; Magnoliopsida; Fabales; Fabaceae
Description: long non-coding RNA (PVUL_LNC003974)
Source: RNAcentral